Molecule: ribosomal RNA, 600 nt
Filed under: Petalura ingentissima
Lineage: Eukaryota; Metazoa; Arthropoda; Insecta; Odonata; Petaluridae
Description: partial 18S ribosomal RNA
Source: RNAcentral
UAGGUGAUGGUGGGAGUAGUGAUAUGGUUGUGUGAAAGAUUAAGGGAUGGAUGUGUGAGUAGAAGGGGGAAUAAGGUGAAAGGGGGAAUGGGUGAUUAAAUGAGUUAUGGUUGGUUKRAUYUUAGGGAGAGUUAGAUGGAUAAGUGUGGUAAUUGUARAGGUAAUAGAUGAAGGUAUGGGGGGAGGAGUGAUGGAAGGGGGGGUUUUAUUAGAAGAAAAGGAAUGGGUGGGGUGGUGGGUGGGUUAGUGAUAAUAAGUUAGGGAAUGGGAUGGGGUUGGGGGGGGGAUGGUUGAUUGAAAUUUGUGGGGUAUGAAGUUUGGAUGGUAGGAUAGUGGGGUAGGAUGGUGGGAAGGGGUAAGGGGGAAUUAGGGUUGGAUUGGGGAGAGGGAGGGUGAGAAAGGGGUAGGAGAUGGAAGGAAGGGAGGAGGGGGGGAAAUUAGGGAAUGGGGAGAGGGGGAGGUAGUGAGAAUAAAUAGUGAUACGGGGGUGUUUGGAGUGUGGUAAUUGGAAUGAGUAGGAUGUAAAGGGAGUAAGGAGGAAGAAUUGGAGGGGAAGUGUGUGGGAGGAGGGGGGGUAAUUGGAGGUGGAAUAGGGUAUAU